ACACUGACGUCGCGACGCAUAUCAAUAAGCGGAGGAAAAGAAACUAACAAGGAUUCCCUUAGUAACGGCGAGUGAAGCGGGAAGAGCUCAAAUUUGAAAUCUUCAAGGUUCUACCUUGACGAAUUGUAGUUUAAAGAAGUGUUUUCUGUUAGUGAAGUUGGUCAAAAGUUCUUUGGAAUAGGACAUCAUAGAGGGUGAGAAUCCCGUAUUUGGUCAUUCCUUCUAGCUUUGUGAUACACUUUCAAAGAGUCGGAUUGUUUGGGAAUGCAGUCCAAAAUGGGUGGUAAAUUUCAUCUAAAGCUAAAUAUUGGCGAGAGACCGAUAGCGAACAAGUACCGUGAGGGAAAGAUGAAAAGAACUUUGAAAAGAGAGUUAAACAGCUACGUGAAAUUGUCAAAAGGGAAGCGUUUGACACCAGUGUUGUUUUUCCGAAAAUCAAUUACGAAUGGCUUGAUUUUGUGUUGUAUUGACCUUAUCAGCUUUCUUCACUUUCUUCGAGUCUUUCUUAAUGCACUUUUCGGUUAACAAGUCAACAUCAAUUUCUUUUGUUGUAAAAGAGUAUUCGGAAGGUGGCUUUCUUUUCGGAGAAAGUGUUUAUAGCCCUAUACUUCUACAAUCGGAGAGACUUGAGGUCUGCAGCGUAGAUCCUUCGGGGUUAGAUACACUUGUGCUAAGUUAUAGCUUUUCAUAGACAACUUGUUGACUAUGUUUAGUCUUGUAGCUUACUCGCUUGUGCUAUUUUACCUACGCUUAGGAUGUUGAGUCGUAGAGCACGCAG
RNAcentral lists this ribosomal RNA (778 nucleotides) under uncultured Neocallimastigales. RNAcentral's name for it is "partial large subunit ribosomal RNA". It matches the Rfam family "Eukaryotic large subunit ribosomal RNA", at positions 25 to 634 of the family's 3401-position model. Lineage: Eukaryota; Fungi; Neocallimastigomycota; Neocallimastigomycetes; Neocallimastigales. The record is from RNAcentral.